UUAGCAUUUGGUAGGUGUGGUUUCGCACAGCACUGAGAUCAUCUGCACCUCCAGCAGCUGCCCGUGGGCCUUGCCGCUCCAGGAUUCGAACCACCUGACACAAAGGACAGAAAAGAGGAAAAAUCUAAGAUGAUAAGCCAGAAUGAGAACUCUAUGCACCUCUAUGCAAGUUCUAUGCAACUUCAACAACUUAUUUCUAUUGUUACCUUAUGAAACUGUAUUCUCAACAAGAAUUUAUUGAAUGAAUAAAUGAAUAAGAAUGCCUGAUACAUGAAA
Long non-coding RNA from Peromyscus maniculatus bairdii (prairie deer mouse), 276 nucleotides. RefSeq lists it as uncharacterized. Lineage: Eukaryota; Metazoa; Chordata; Mammalia; Rodentia; Cricetidae. The record is from RefSeq and is a predicted model, not a curated record.